RNAcentral lists this ribosomal RNA (258 nucleotides) under uncultured bacterium. RNAcentral's name for it is "partial 16S ribosomal RNA". It matches the Rfam family "Bacterial small subunit ribosomal RNA", at positions 99 to 354 of the family's 1533-position model. The record is from RNAcentral.
CGGACGGGUGAGUAACGCGUGGGGAACCUGCCCUGUACCGGGGGAUAGCAGCCGGAAACGGCUGAUAAUACCGCAUAAGCGCACGAAUGUCGCAUGACAUGGUGUGAAAAACUCCGGUGGUAUAGGAUGGACCCGCGUCUGAUUAGCCUGUUGGUGGGGUAAAAGCCUACCAAAGCGAAGAUCAGUAGCCGAGUUGAGAGACUGACCGGCCACAUUGGGACUGAGACACGGCCCAGACUCCUACGGGAGGCAGCAGGC